GCGAGGGUAGCGAAGCCCGGUUAAACGCGCAGGACUUAAGAUCCUGUUCCUCAGUGGAUUCGGGGGUUCGAAUCCCCUCCCUCGCA
RNAcentral lists this transfer RNA (86 nucleotides) under Candidatus Woesearchaeota archaeon. RNAcentral's name for it is "tRNA-Leu". It matches the Rfam family "tRNA". From Rfam's summary of the family: Transfer RNA (tRNA) molecules are approximately 80 nucleotides in length. Their secondary structure includes four short double-helical elements and three loops (D, anti-codon, and T loops). Further hydrogen bonds mediate the characteristic L-shaped molecular structure. tRNAs have two regions of fundamental functional importance: the anti-codon, which is responsible for specific mRNA codon recognition, and the 3' end, to which the tRNAs corresponding amino acid is attached (by aminoacyl-tRNA synthetases). tRNAs cope with the degeneracy of the genetic code in two manners: having more than one tRNA (with a specific anti-codon) for a particular amino acid; and 'wobble' base-pairing, i.e. permitting non-standard base-pairing at the 3rd anti-codon position. The record is from RNAcentral. Lineage: Archaea; Nanobdellati; Candidatus Woesearchaeota.